This 29-nucleotide non-coding RNA is filed under the name Mus musculus (house mouse). The record is from RNAcentral. Lineage: Eukaryota; Metazoa; Chordata; Mammalia; Rodentia; Muridae.
UAGAGAGGGCAAGAGUGUCAUUGAUCCAG